GCUAAUACCGCAUACGUCCUACGGGAGAAAGCAGGGGAUCUUCGGACCUUGCGCUAAAUGAUGAGCCUAGUCGGAUUAGCUAGUUGGUGGGGUAAAGGCCUACCAAGGCGACGAUCUGUAGCGGGUCUGAGAGGAUGAUCCGCCACACUGGGACUGAGACACGGCCAGACUCCUACGGGAGGCAGCAGUGGGGAAUAUGGACAAUGGGCGGAAGCCUGAUCCAGCCAUGCCGCGUGUGUGAAGAAGGCCUUUUGGUUGUAAAGCACUUUAAGCGA
RNAcentral lists this ribosomal RNA (275 nucleotides) under Acinetobacter sp. SE0205. RNAcentral's name for it is "partial 16S ribosomal RNA". It matches the Rfam family "Bacterial small subunit ribosomal RNA", at positions 162 to 442 of the family's 1533-position model. Lineage: Bacteria; Pseudomonadati; Pseudomonadota; Gammaproteobacteria; Moraxellales; Moraxellaceae. The record is from RNAcentral.